This 376-nucleotide ribosomal RNA is filed under the name uncultured bacterium. Its description in RNAcentral is "bacterial SSU rRNA". It matches the Rfam family "Bacterial small subunit ribosomal RNA", at positions 521 to 895 of the family's 1533-position model. The record is from RNAcentral.
UAAUACAGAGGUCUCAAGCGUUGUUCGGAUUUACUGGGCGUAAAGGGUGCGUAGGCGGCAGGGUAAGUUAGAUGUGAAAUGCCGAAGCUUAACUUCGGCACCGCAUUUGAUACUGCUCUGCUUGAGCACUAGAGAGGAGACUGGAAUUUACGGUGUAGCAGUGAAAUGCGUAGAUAUCGUAAGGAAGACCAGUGGCGAAGGCGAGUCUCUGGAUAGUUGCUGACGCUGAGGCACGAAGGCCAGGGGAGCAAACGGGAUUGGAUACCCCGGUAGUCCUGGCAGUAAACAGUGCGCGUUUGGUGUGAAGGGGUUCGACCCCCUUUGUGCCGGAGCCAACGCGUUAAACGCGCCGCCUGGGGAAUACGGUCGCAAGACU